CUCUCCUUUAAAGGCUUCAA
Molecule: microRNA, 20 nt
Filed under: Corchorus olitorius
Lineage: Eukaryota; Viridiplantae; Streptophyta; Magnoliopsida; Malvales; Malvaceae
Description: aqc-miR47
Source: RNAcentral